This 433-nucleotide ribosomal RNA is filed under the name uncultured bacterium. RNAcentral's name for it is "partial 16S ribosomal RNA". It matches the Rfam family "Bacterial small subunit ribosomal RNA", at positions 29 to 507 of the family's 1533-position model. The record is from RNAcentral.
AACGAACGCUGGCGGCAUGCCUAACACAUGCAAGUCGAACGAAGGCUUCGGCCUUAGUGGCGCACGGGUGCGUAACGCGUGGGAAUCUGCCCUUUGGUUCGGAAUAACAGCUGGAAACGGCUGCUAAUACCGGAUGAUGACGAAAGUCCAAAGAUUUAUCGCCAGAGGAUGAGCCCGCGUUGGAUUAGGUAGUUGGUGGGGUAAAGGCCUACCAUGCCGACGAUCCAUAGCUGGUCUGAGAGGAUGAUCAGCCACACUGGGACUGAGACACGGCCCAGACUCCUACGGGAGGCAGCAGUGGGGAAUAUUGGACAAUGGGCGCAAGCCUGAUCCAGCAAUGCCGCGUGAGUGAUGAAGGCCCUAGGGUUGUAAAGCUCUUUUACCCGGGAAGAUAAUGACUGUACCGGGAGAAUAAGCCCCGGCUAACUCCGUG